UCUCUGAUGGUCCAGUGGUUGGGAUUUGGCAUUUUCACUGGCAAGGUCUGGGUUUGAUCCCUGGUUGGGGAA
Non-coding RNA from Bos taurus (domestic cattle), 72 nucleotides. NCBI's taxonomy places the organism in Eukaryota, Metazoa, Chordata, Mammalia, Artiodactyla, Bovidae. The record is from Rfam.